Long non-coding RNA from Amphiprion ocellaris (clown anemonefish), 1273 nucleotides. The record is from Ensembl. Lineage: Eukaryota; Metazoa; Chordata; Actinopteri; Pomacentridae.
AGAAUGAGGAAGAGGAGGAGGAGUAGUAAGAAGAUGAACAAGGAGUAAAAGGAGGAAGAGAUGGAAAAAUAAUAGAAAUAGUAGGAGAGGAAAAAGAAAAAGGCGCAGAGGAGAAAUAAAGAAGAACAAAGAGGAGAGGAAGGAGGAAAAUAGGAGGGGAGGAGUAGAAAAAGGAUGACAAAAGAAUGGCAAGACUGGAGGAAAAGAAAAGGAUGAGGAAGAGCAGAAAGAAGCAAGAUGAGCAAGGAGCACAAGGAGGAAGGGAUGAAAAGAAGAGGAAGAAGGCAACAGAGAAGGAGGAGGAGAAAGGAGACAGAAAGGGUAGAAGGAAGGAUAUGGAGAAAGGACAAGACAAAGAAGGAGAAGAAUAGACAAAAAGGGAGGAGGAGAAAGAAGGAGAAGAAAACAAUGAGGAAGAGUAGAAAAAGACAAAAGAACAGGAAUGGGGAGUAAAAGGAGGAAGAUAUGGAGAAGAAUUAGUAGUAGAAGAGGAAGAGGGAGGAGAGCACGAAGAAAAGAGUCGUACAGGAAAAAGGAGGAAGAGAAGAAAAGCAUUAAGCAAGAGGAGAAGACAAGAAUGACAAGAAGUAGGAGAAGAAGAAAAUAAUGAAAAAAGAAUAUAGAAGAACAAGGACUAAAGGGAGGAAGGGAAGAGAAAGAGUGUGAAAAGAAUGAGAAGAGAAUGAGGGAGAGUAGGAGAAGAAGAGGAGCAAAGAGUAAAGGAAGGAACAGAUGAAGAAAAAUGAGUUGUAGAAGAGGAAGGAGGAGAACAAAAAUGAAGAAAAAAAUGGGAGAAAAUGGAGGAAGAGAAGACAAGACUGACAAGAAGGAAGAAUGAAAAAGGACAAAAAAUGGGAAAAAAGGGAGGAAGAGAUAAGAGGGUGUAGCAUAAGGAGACAAUAAAGACAGAAGAAGAAAAGAAAGAGAAAAAGAGGGAAAACAAAAAGCCAGAAGGAAUAGUAAUAGAAAAGGAAGAGGAAGAAGGAUGAGUAGAAGGAAGAAGAAAUGGACCCAAAGACAAAAGGAGGAAGGAGGAAAAGACAAAAGGAACAGAGAAGGAAGAGGAAGAGAGGCAAGAGAUGAAAAACAAGAGGAAAAGGUAACAGAAGGAGGAGGACAAAGAUGAUAAAUACAAAAGAGGAGGAGAAAGUAGGAGAAGACAGAAGCAGGAAAGAAAAAUUAGGAGAUGGAGUAGAAGAGGAAGAUGGAGGGAAGAGGAGAAGGAAAAAACAAGGAAAAGGAGGAGGUUAAAAGAAUGAGAAAGACAAAGAGG